UAAGGUGGUUAUAGCCAUGGGGCUCACCUCUUACCAUACCGAACAGAGUAGUUAAGCCCAUGAGCGCAGAUGGUACUGCGAGAGCGGGAGAGUAUGUCGCCGCCUUCU
Sinomicrobium oceani is the source of this 108-nucleotide ribosomal RNA. The record is from Rfam. Lineage: Bacteria; Pseudomonadati; Bacteroidota; Flavobacteriia; Flavobacteriales; Flavobacteriaceae.